CAGCAGCCGCGGUAAUACGAAGGUCCCGAGCGUUGUUCGGAAUCACUGGGCGUAAAGGGAGCGUAGGCGGCGUGGUAAGUCAGAUGUGAAAUCCCGGGGCUCAACCCCGGAACUGCAUCCGAUACUGCCAUGCUAGAGGAUUGGAGAGGUAGCUGGAAUUCUUGGUGUAGCAGUGAAAUGCGUGGAGAUCAAGAGGAACACUCGUGGCGAAAGCGAGCUACUGGACAAUAACUGACGCUGAGGCUCGAAGGCCAGGGUAGCGAAAGGGAUUAGAUACCCGCGUAGUCCCUGUCUCUUAUAC
RNAcentral lists this ribosomal RNA (301 nucleotides) under uncultured bacterium. Its description in RNAcentral is "partial 16S ribosomal RNA". It matches the Rfam family "Bacterial small subunit ribosomal RNA", at positions 509 to 807 of the family's 1533-position model. The record is from RNAcentral.